AGACCCGAAACCCGGUGAUCUAGCCAUGGGCAGGUUGAAGGUUGGGUAACACUAACUGGAGGACCGAACCGACUAAUGUUGAAAAAUUAGCGGAUGACCUGUGGCUGGGGGUGAAAGGCCAAUCAAACCGGGAGAUAGCUGGUUCUCCCCGAAAGCUAUUUAGGUAGCGCCUCGUGAAUUCAUCUCCGGGGGUAGAGCACUGUUUCGGCUAGGGGGCCAUCCCGGCUUACCAACCCGAUGCAAACUGCGAAUACCGGAGAAUGUUAUCACGGGAGACACACGGCGGGUGCUAACGUCCGUCGUGAAGAGGGAAACAACCCAGACCGCCAGCUAAGGUCCCAAAGUCAUGGUUAAGUGGGAAACGAUGUGGGAAGGCACAGACAGCCAGGAUGUUGGCUUAGAAGCAGCCAUCAUUUAAAGAAAGCGUAAUAGCUCACUGGUCGAGUCGGCCUGCGCGGAAGAUGUAACGGGGCUAAACCAUGCACCGAAGCUGCGGCAGCGACACUGUGUGUUGUUGGGUAGGGGAGCGUUCUGUAAGCCUGUGAAGGUGUGUCGUGAGGCAUGCUGGAGGUAUCAGAAGUGCGAAUGCUGACAUAAGUAACGAUAAAGCGGGUGAAAAGCCCGCUCGCCGGAAGACCAAGGGUUCCUGUCCAACGUUAAUCGGGGCAGGGUGAGUCGACCCCUAAGGCGAGGCCGAAAGGCGUAGUCGAUGGGAAACGGGUUAAUAUUCCCGUACUUGGUGUUACUGCGAAGGGGGGACGGAGAAGGCUAUGUUGGCCGGGCGACGGUUGUCCCGGUUUAAGCGUGUAGGUGUGUGUUCCAGGUAAAUCCGGUUCACUUUAAC
This 844-nucleotide ribosomal RNA is filed under the name Salmonella enterica. Its description in RNAcentral is "partial 23S ribosomal RNA". It matches the Rfam family "Bacterial large subunit ribosomal RNA", at positions 711 to 1556 of the family's 2925-position model. Lineage: Bacteria; Pseudomonadati; Pseudomonadota; Gammaproteobacteria; Enterobacterales; Enterobacteriaceae. The record is from RNAcentral.